UACCCAUUCUACGUCCCUGGCACAGUUGGUCCAUAUGAUAUGUUAUGAUAAGGGAAAGACCGGUUGACCCAUUCUACGUCCCGGCACAGUUGGACCUAUGUAGAGGACUAUAGGUGACAAUACCAUCCGAGAUGUGAUUUGUUGUGAUGUGUUGCAUUGCAUGAAAGCAUAAAAUUUUAAUAUAAUGUUUUAUACUAUUCUGCUCACUGGGCUUUGUAGCUCACCCCUCUCCCCUAACCCCAGAUGUGCAGGUACAGGGUAGAUCAGAAGGUUAGCCAGAGUUUUGAAGUAUGUCUUAUGUAUGUAAUAGUUAGUAUGUGGACAUGACAAUUGAUGAAAUGUAAAAAUAUUCAGAAUGUUAUGUAAUGAGGUUAUUGAGGAUAGAGUUGUGCUUGACCAUAAUGUAUUGUUAAUCCCUUUUGUCUAUACAUGAUCUUAUGUUAUGAUGUUUAUGUAAACUAACUCAACACAGGCUGUUU
RNAcentral lists this long non-coding RNA (479 nucleotides) under Manihot esculenta (cassava). RNAcentral's name for it is "long non-coding RNA (MESC_LNC003490)". The record is from RNAcentral. Lineage: Eukaryota; Viridiplantae; Streptophyta; Magnoliopsida; Malpighiales; Euphorbiaceae.